This 549-nucleotide long non-coding RNA is filed under the name Daphnia pulex (common water flea). RNAcentral's name for it is "uncharacterized LOC124209142, transcript variant X2". The record is from RNAcentral. Lineage: Eukaryota; Metazoa; Arthropoda; Branchiopoda; Diplostraca; Daphniidae.
CUGCUCUGUGAGUCUGUGCUGUUCUAGAAAGAAGAAAAGCUAUGAGGAGGCUAUAAUGGUUUCCGUCAGUGGAAAUGCCAGAGUCUGUACUGUUAUCAAGAGUGGGGCUAAAAUCUACUGAGAUUGUUUACUGCAACUUUAAAAUGAGUCCAUUUCACACAAACGAUUUCAGCCAAGUGUUCAGACUGACAUCUUCAAUUGCUGGUGCAUGCAACACCCAAACUAAUCAAGUAAAUGUUUUCAAUAUUAAACAAAAACUAAGAUAAGAAAAAUCGUGUAUUGAGACCAAACUAAAAGCUAGGCAAUCUAACCCUCCCCUGUAAUUAAUUUUCCUGAUCGUGUCACCCUCAGAUGCAGUCUUGUUAAGAUUCAGUAACAAAUCACAAUCUUAUUUACCCUACACAUGUCCAGGAAACUUAUUCCUUAGGUGGAGCAAGUUGGCUGAGAUUUUAUUUUGUACAUUUCUGUUAUUUUUAAGAAGCAGAAUCUCAAAUUCACGAAACAUUGCGAUCGCUGCGUAGAUUAUCAAUAAAAUAAUUUGUUAGUUGU